UUGGAAGCAUCUGUUGGAUUUAACCUCCUGAGAUAAUUGAUGGCAUAGAGACUUUCCAUUCCAGGUAGUAGAGGAGGCAGACGUCAGAAAGAAGCUCCCUUACACAACUCUGAAUUGGAUGUGAAAGGAGGAGAGAAUGAGGCAGUAGUGUUUCUGAAAAGGACCCGGGAAAGAGGGAGAAGUUGAAGAUAAGAGAGGCAAAAGGGAUCAGCGAUGGCGGUGAGGUCCAAAGAAUGGAGGAGGAUGGGGUCCAAACCACUGGUGGGCGCGUUGGCUUUUAGGAUGGGAGGGGCUGCUUCGAGUCUAGCAGAAAGGACAAGAGGGUAGGUGCCUGUGCAGACUGGUUUUCUCUGAAGUCAGACCAGAGGGGAUUGGAGUUUUGCAAAAGAGGGUUUUAAAAUAAUUAUGGUGGAGAAUAAAGUGGCCAGAGGUGUCGUAGGACUAUAGGAGGACCCAACUAUUAGACGGCCAGGAACUCACAGUGAAAAUUGGCCUUGUGAUUUUUUCGUUCCCCUCCCUAGAAGCACCAGAUGCCUGGGUACAGAUGCAGAGAAAAUGGAGAUACUUGGGGGUUUGCCAGAUUAGGGUGCUGCCCAGGAAGCCACACUUAGGAAUGGCAGAGGACACUUCCGUGCGGGAAAAGAGGCAUUCCGAGAAACAGAGCCUGCUGUUCAUUCUUGUUCUCAACCCUCUAGCUUCCGAUGUGCAUGUUUUCCCGCCCGUUCUCUGUAUCUUUGGCGGGGUUUCGGUGCCUUACCCUCUGUCUCAGCAGGUGGAGAAGGAGAGGAUAGGAUGAGAAUUACCCACGGGCCUCUGCUGAACCACUUGCCAUGACUCCCGAACACCUGGCACUUGCCAGGCUGUGACAGCGGAAAGGGCCUGUGUAGUCUGGGUAAACUGCCAGAGAAUCCUUGAACCCCGUCACCUCAGGCUGAGAAUCCUGCUCUGUAUAAACCACUGCCCAAAUAUUGAUGCAAGACUGUGUCCAAGUGCUUUAUAAACCACAUCGCCUCCACUCUUGCCCUCGUCAGCAAUGUGCUCCCUUCUGCUUGGAGAACAACGCACAGCGAGAGAUGGCCAAGAAGGGUUCUG
Molecule: long non-coding RNA, 1092 nt
Filed under: Equus asinus (donkey)
Lineage: Eukaryota; Metazoa; Chordata; Mammalia; Perissodactyla; Equidae
Description: lncRNA (ENSEASG00005025041.1)
Source: RNAcentral